ACCUGGUUGAUCUUGCCAGUAGUCAUAUGCUUGUCUCAAAGAUUAAGCCAUGCAAGUGAAAGUAUAUGCAUAUUUUAUAUGUAGAAACUGCGAACGGCUCAUUAAAACAGUUAUAAUCUACUUGACAUUUUAUUAUAAGGAUAACUACGGAAAAGCUGUAGCUAAUACUUGCUUUAAGUGCUUUUUACUCUCCGGAGUAAUUAGCAUGUAUUUGUUAAGCCUUAUAAGAAAAAUUUUUAAUUAAAGGAAUUAUAACAAAGAAGUAACACAUAAUAUAUUUAUUAUAUUUAGUGUGUAUCAAUCGAGUUUCUGACCUAUCAGCUUUUGAUGUUAGGGUAUUGGCCUAACAUGGCUAUGACGGGUAACGGGGGAAUUAGAUUCGAUUCCGGAGAGGGAGCCUGAGAAAUAGCUACCACAUCUAAGGAAGGCAGCAGGCGCGUAAAUUACCCAAUUCUAAAUAAGAGAGGUAGUGACAAGAAAUAACAAUAUAAGGCCAAAUUUUGGUUUUAUAAUUGGAAUGAUGGGAAUUUAAAACCUUCCCAAAAAUCAAUUGGAGGGCAAGUCUGGUGCCAGCAGCCGCGGUAAUUCCAGCUCCAAUAGCGUAUAUUAAAAUUGUUGCAGUUAAAACGCUCGUAGUUGAACUUCAAGGGUAUUAUUAUUUUAAGCAACUCACUUGGCUAGAUUCUUGGCUCCGCCUCGAUAUCUCAUGCCUCGUUGCAGUUCUUUUAAUUACUGGCCCUUUGAGAGCCCACUGAUUUAUCAUUGGGCUCUCGUUACUUUGAGUAAAUUUAGAGUGUUCAAAGCAAACAGUUAAAGCCGUUUUCYGCGUUUGAAUACUAUAGCAUGGAAUAACCAAAUUGAACAAGUCAAAUUUUUKGUUCUUUUUUCUUAUUUBGGCUUAGUUACGAUUAAUAGGAGUAGCUUGGGGGCAUUAGUAUUCAGAUGUCAGAGGUGAAAUUCUUAGAUUUUCUGGAGACAAACAACUGCGAAAGCAUUUGCCUAAAAUACUUCCAUUAAUCAAGAACGAAAGUUAAGGGAGUGAAGACGAUCAGAUACCGUCGUAAUCUUAACCAUAAACUAUGCCGACUAGGUUUUGGAUGAAAAUUUAUAAAUAAGAUUUCCCUCCGGGGAAUUCUUAGAUUGCUUCCUUCGAGUACCUUAUGAGAAUCAAAGUCUUUGGGUUCUGGGGCGAGUAUUCGCGCAAGCGAGAAAGUUAAAAGAAUUGACGGAAGGGCACCACCAGGCGUGGAGCUUGCGGCUUAAUUUGACUCAACACGGGGAAACUCACUAGUUUAAGACAAGAGUAGGAUUGACAGAUUAAUAGCUCUUUCUUGAUUUCUUGGAUGGUGAUGCAUGGCCGUUUUUAGUUCGUGAAUAUGAUUUGUCUGGUUAAUUCCGAUAACGAACGAGAUCUUAACCUGCUAAUUAGCGGCGAGUACGCUAUAUCCUUUAUCGGGGGAUUGGUUUUGACGUUUUUGCGGUCAUACUGCUUAAUCAAUUGGUUUACCUUUUGCUCUUUUGCGGUAUGUUUCUCGCAUCUUCGACAUGCCUCUCUUCUGAUAAGGAUGUAUUCGCUUUAUUUAAUGCUUCUU
This 1592-nucleotide ribosomal RNA is filed under the name Plasmodium yoelii. RNAcentral's name for it is "SSU rRNA". It matches the Rfam family "Eukaryotic small subunit ribosomal RNA", at positions 1 to 1431 of the family's 1831-position model. Lineage: Eukaryota; Apicomplexa; Aconoidasida; Haemosporida; Plasmodiidae. The record is from RNAcentral.